This 106-nucleotide small nuclear RNA is filed under the name Propithecus coquereli (Coquerel's sifaka). Lineage: Eukaryota; Metazoa; Chordata; Mammalia; Primates; Indriidae. The record is from RNAcentral.
ACGCUCACUUUCGCAGCACAUAUACUAAAAUUGGAACAAUACAGAGACAAUUAGCAUGGCCUCUGUGCAAGGAUGACAUGUCACUCAUGAAGCAUUACAUAUCUUU